RNAcentral lists this transfer RNA (71 nucleotides) under Loxodonta africana (African savanna elephant). It matches the Rfam family "tRNA". From Rfam's summary of the family: Transfer RNA (tRNA) molecules are approximately 80 nucleotides in length. Their secondary structure includes four short double-helical elements and three loops (D, anti-codon, and T loops). Lineage: Eukaryota; Metazoa; Chordata; Mammalia; Proboscidea; Elephantidae. The record is from Rfam by way of RNAcentral.
GCAGUGGUGGUUCAGUGGUAGAAUGUUCACCUUCCCCAUGGGAGACCCAGGUUCACUUCCCGGCCAAUGCA